This 393-nucleotide unclassified non-coding RNA is filed under the name Hevea brasiliensis (rubber tree). Lineage: Eukaryota; Viridiplantae; Streptophyta; Magnoliopsida; Malpighiales; Euphorbiaceae. The record is from RNAcentral.
CAUUUAAAAGUUUUGCUCAUCAACUGUGUCCUGGUCAUAUUUUGUUUGGCGACCUUCGAAUAUCUUUAGAAUGAAUGGGAUAGAAGAACUCCAAAUAUUUCAUCCUAGUCAUUUAGAUGCAUGUUUUCUUAUUUUCAAUUUCUCAUGGCAUUCAGUUUAUAUAUGUAGUUGAUCCUUGGCAUCAGUUAAUUACUUAAUUGGAAUGUAUGAGUAUUAAUAAUUAUAUUCUCAUGCUUAUUCAUGCGUCAACACAUUAUCUUUUUGUGUAUCAUAUCAUUGUGUUUAUUUUAAUUUGUAUCACAACAACAAGGACAUGGGAAUGAUCUUAUUUACCAUUUCUACCUGGUGAACUUUUUAUUAGCAGUAAGAUGCAAAUAACUUGGUUAAUCAAGG